UCGGCGGACAUGGUCAAGCGGCAGACAGGAGCGAGGAGUGUGGGGCUGGAAAGGCGAAGGACCACAGGACGACGUGGCCGGCUCGGUUCUCUCGCUCGCUCUGUGAGCCACAAAAAAUUCCUUUGAAUUGCGUCCGUUGCAGCAGGAGCACACAAACACGGCGACAUGUAUUUUCCGCAUUUUUUGUUGCCUUCUGCCUGUGGCUAUGCGCAAAAAAGGACAUCUCCGCCGGCGGUGGCAGGAUGACGGUGGUCCACAGGAUCGGUGGCUCGCUGGUUCGGAGUUGAGCAAUAUUUAUAAACUGGCCGAAAAAAAGGAGCGGGAGGUGCCGGAGAGGAGCAGGAGAAGCAGGAGGAGGCUGAUGCGGGGGUCAUGGUGCAUGAUGCAUGCCCAAUGGCUUUAUUUCCGGGUGACCGUGUAAAACGUGCUCGUGGUUUGCAGCUUAUUAAAUGAGCUAUUUGAUUAACAUUGUUCGGCGGGGCUCGUUGUUACGCUAAUGAAAGGACAAAAGCGAAUAUUUGGACUGCGAGGCACAAAGGACACAGGCCCGAAGCCAUUUUACAGGACAAUUCAGAAAAACAUUUAUAAUGCAGAGCAUGUUUUAUAUACCAUGCAUGCAAGGAAGCUAUGCAUUUAUAUUUGAAAUACGUAAAGUGAAAGCAAGGCACAAAGUCACAGGAAGACUUAGUAUUGAUUUCCAUAUUAUCUUAAUCUAAUUUAACAGAUUACUCAACUUAUAUAAUCUGUUAAGAAUAAUCUUAUCCUCGAGAUUGACUUCAACGUGGCCCUAGCCUUUUGUAAUAUGCAAUUAACUUCCCACAAACAACAAUGUUCAUAAACAUCGGGCAAUUCAAACAUUUCUACAUUAAUCGAAAUUGUACAAUUUACUCUGCCACUCAAUUACUUUGUUUUUCUUUGGCAGCUUAUUAAAUGCCACAUUCUGCAUGCCCAGGAGCGAGGACUCAGCAUCUGUUGAUGUUUGCACGGGCGAAACACCUUGGAGUCCUGGGGAAAACCGCACGAGCCCGACCAGAUGAUGAUCUAAUUGAAUGACAAUAUUAUGCCAGGCCUAAUUCAAUUUGCAUUCCUUGGGAAGAGGAGCAGGUGGAGGAGCUGGGCUGAGGGACACGGGCUGAAUCUUAAACAAACACGGCAAUUACUGCCGACGGAUGCACUUGUCUGGCCAAAUGACUUGGUCCUGUAAUUAGCCCGGGGAUGAAAGGAUGCGGGCUGGGUUCCCGUUUUUCGGCCCUUGGCCCUUUGUCGGCCUCCUCGGGGGUCCGCCUAAUUAUCACAUUUUUACUCAUUAAAUUCACAUUUGCCUGUUUUUUUUCGUUGCUUUUCCCCUUUUUUGGCAGGUCCUGCGCGGAUCCUGCUGUCUAAUUACAGGCUUUGAGCCGCCCUGGCCACCGAAUGAUGAUUGAUUGAGGGAGUAGUAGUAGUAGUAGCCUCGUAAAAUCAUACCACAUAACUUCCCCGCUUAACUCAUUUCCAUUCCAGGUGACAUCUGCCCAAGCGCGUGCCAUGCCAAGGUGCUUCGAGGAAAGUGCAAACAGCAGAUGUAAUGGAUAUGGAAAAGCAAAUCGAAAACUGAUUUGGAGCGGAAGUUCGUUUGCACCUUUCUGCAGUUUCCUGCCAGAACAAUAAACAUCCACAAUCCGCAGCUACAGCCACUUCCAUUCCAUACCCACAAUCGCAAUCAGAAUCGCCGAGUGUUCCAUAUAGUGCCACGACUUGUCUUGGCCUUUGACGCCGUCUUUUGUACUCAGUGAGUUGAGUUCAGAUGGCAUGGAGAUGGAGAUGGAAGAUGGAGCUGGAGGUGAAGUCACCGCCCGUUGGCUUUUGAAUGAGCUGCAAAUCAAAAGCUAUACGCGAUUUCACACACAGUACGGAUUAAGGAUAUGCGUGUGCACGCAGAAAAAUAUUUGAUGGGUUAUGAGUGUAAAAAUAAUGUAACUGGCAGGAUUGAUAUAUGACCAAGUUCCUCCUGGUCAUAUUAUACCCAAAAUCUUGAAAAACUGAACGACUUUUGCUCAUGCUAACUGCAAGGAAGGACCAAGGAUCCCCGGCAGCUGCUCCUUCGGAACGCUGUAUUUGAUUUGCGAUUCGAGGCUGGCGGAAAUGGAAUGGCACGCGAGGCACUCGUACUUUGUUUGACGAUUGGCAAAAAUGCUGCCUCCAUUGCCCGACAAAAAACAGAAGGAACAGAGGGACCAAGGACCCGCCAGCCGUAAGAGACUUCCACUUGAGCCGCACGCAUUGUUUGCCCUGCGAACCGAAGGGGCGUGCUUGGAAAUCGGAUAUAGGAUCGCUCGUUCGGGACAAUCAAAUAGCGCAGCGGAGUUUUCCAACCCACUGAGCAGCCGCAAUCGGCGGCGAAUCAGCUGCCUAUGGCCUGCCUCCAAGAAGAGUCUACGGCGAUGAGGUGCCAACCCGAGCCACGCGUGUCCCGUGUCCUAUGGCCAAUGGUCAAUGGUCAAAAUUGGACACUGGCCGUCUCAUUAGCGCACCAAAGGCUGGAGGGUUAAUGAUGCGCACCCCGUGCUUGGGCUUCCGUCCCCCACUCCACGCCACUCCGCCUCCCGGCAAUUAUGCGACGCACUUGAGCUUGAAGGGCCUCGAAGGUGAGGAGUACACUUGGACAAAUCGAACAACAACUGGUGCACUACAUAAAAGUUUCAUAUAAUUAAUGUUGCUUACUCAAUCGUUUGACAUACGACUUGGAAAUUCUUAAAAUAAGUAAGUAAGCGGCACUUCCACGUAGUCUGAAUAAGUAGUUAGGAAUUAUAAGCACAUACUUGUACUUGAACUCCUGUUUUUUCGAGUGUACGCGUAGGAGGACUGCAGUGGCCAUUCAUUGACCCCGUCUGUGUAGUAGCUCGGGUUUUAUGGUGUCGUCGUAAAUGUCAGGUGCGCACCCCAUUUAAAUUUAUUCAACGUAAUUAGUUGUCUCCCCAUAAAGUGCCUGUAAGUCUGCAGUGUGUGGUGCCAGUGCACGAAUCUAAUUUGAUUGCCAACUGAAAACUACAAGUGUUAGGGGAUUACGAUGAAGUGCUUCCGCCCGGGCCCGAAAAAUUCGAUUUCCCCUUUCGAAGAUAAAUUUUUGUGGCGCGGAUUAAACGACACAUAAACCAUAUAAAUGGGACGCAACACACCUGCAGGUGGAAAACAUGCAAAAACGAUAAUUGCGAGAUAUGCGAACGGGACAUGACGCCGCAGGAUGCCAAACGAGCUGCUCCAUCCCGCCGGCGCUCCAGUUGGGUCACCAUUCUCGCCUCGGUUAUCGGUGAAUUCCGUGACGAUGGCAAAAAUAUUGCAACGCAGCCAAAAGGGGCGGAAAAGGGCUGGCGGGGAAGCAGGCGGUCUGGGUCCUGGUCCAUUUCGUGUGCACGUCGUUAUCCUUGCCCCGGAUGCACAACAAUCAAAAUAAACGGCUGCCAAAUUGACCAUUGACCAAACAUCGUCAGCAGGGAACGGCGAGGAGGUGCCGACGACCAUGCAGCAGGAUGUGCGGGCGGCCAAGGACCUCCAGGGGCAAGGGUGCGAACUGAAGCACUGGAUAGCGACAUCAUCUUUGGCCCCGUCACGUCCACUCUCUGCUCCGUUCAGGAGUCAAGCAGCCAUCUCGAAAUAAACAUGAAAUGCUCUUGUUUUUGUGCAGCGGGAAAACGAUUAAAGGUAAAAGUGGAGAGAACUAGCACAUUUCUAUUGGGAACCGAAUCCAAGGUGUUCCUUGCAGGCUGUUAAAGCAAGGACAUGGAAACUAGACACAGGUCAACCCAUUCCUCAGAAUGUAAUCAAAGAAAUCAAUUCAGGUGUGGAAUUAAAAUUCAUUGUAAUGCUAUACCGAUAUCGUUUAAGCCAGAAAUAUGUGUAAUGGGCCAUAAUUGAUACCCUAUAAGCCAGAUGCCGACCAGAGUUAGUAACUGCCGCUACAUAAUUAACCAGAAAUGUUCGCUCAUCUCGCGUCCCCACUCGAUUUACGAUAUUAUUGCAGAAUAAUGAAAUCGCCAAGAGAUUCCAAUUCAAUCUACGCGCCUCAUAAUGGCGUAGGCCAUUUAUGGAUUGGCAUUGAUUUAAUACCGCGUCGCGAGAGAUCGCCUCCAGGUUCGGUUCCCCCGAGUCCGAGGCGCAAGGCAUUUUGCACCUACUUCAGGCCCAAGACGUCCAAGUCGCGCUCGCGGCUCCAAAGUCCGCAUCUGAUCUGAUUCCGCCGCCUAUCGCUCCCCAAGAUCAGCGGCGCAGACGCCACCUCGUCGGAUGCUGCAUCGGCGGGCAGGAGGGCAUCGCAGCACUCAGGAAAAAUGCACCUCAGAACGGAAGAUUCUCAUUUCGAAAGUACAAAUUCAAAUAUAUUGUCGAAUGCUCCUCCAUAAAAUCCCUCUAAGUACUAGUGAAUUCUAAUUCCGAAUCAAUAAUGUAAAUUAUUUUGUGGACGCAGUUUCAGAUUACUUGCUGUGCCCACAGAUACCACUACUAUUACUUGCUCAUCAACUGCGAGGCGACGACUGAAAGGAUUUUUUCUGAAUGCACUGCUCCAAUGUUUAUUCAAUAAACCCGAUCUGAGAUGCAGCGCGCCAGGAGGAGGAGCGGCAGAACAGCAGCUGGCUGGCUGGCUGACUGGCAUUCCUGCGAGAAGCAACCGUUGAGCAGUGCUGCAGUUGGCCCAUUCAAGACAAGCCGCUGGAAUUUCUUGGUGCGUGCUCGGCACAGGCACAGUCCCAGUCCCAGUCGCAGUCACAGGUUGGGGCUCGGAAUCGGAUUCAGCUGGUCUGCCAGCGUCUGCCAGCUGCGCCUCCUGAUUAUGAUAAUGGCAGUUGGACUGGACCGGAUCGGGCUGGAUCGGGCUGGACCGGGACAAGCACCAGGCUGGGCCACGACGGACCGCUCAGCUCAUCCCACUGGCCGGCCAGUUGUGCGCAAUUGCUUUCGUUUAUGAUCGAAUGAUCGAAUGCCUGGCAGCUCCGUUGACUUUCUGAUUAAUGCAAGAAUGCUCCUUGGCGGCGUUCCUGCUUUUUGCCCGAUCCCACCACCACUGACUGCAAUUAAAAGUGGAUACCUCGCACUAAAAAUUGGACGAAGGCAGGACUGGACAUAUCCACGCCAAAGACAAGAUCUUUUCAACUGAAUACCACCAAGAAUUGUCCAACUACUCGGUAUAUACUUUCGGCUGAAACCCAAACCAAGUUAAUCCCAGAUAAGAGCAUUCCCAGUUCGCCUUCGUUCGCGGUGCCACAGAUUGAUUUGAUUCCUGACCGGCUGCCGUCGCCUGCUGUGCCUGAUGUCCGAUGUCCGAUGGCUGGUCGAGAGUCGGGGAAUAGGAAUGGGAACGGGAAUGGGAAUGGGAACCCAAGUGGCGGCCAGAUGCAGACUGGGCCGAGGAAGACAAACGACAGUCGCCAGCGCGCCUCGUGCCUCCAGUUGUCAUAACGUUCAACACGUCGUGCCCCUCGGUGGCGUCUUGCGUCUUGCGCCUUGCGGACCACGUCCUCGCCGCGUCCACAUGCCCGACUUCUGUGCGCUGCCAUAAAAGGAUUUGUCACGUGCGAGCUUUUGUUGGAAAUGCAACAAUCAUCAGCCUGCAUUAUGCAUGGCGCAUUGCCAGGUUGGACAUCGCAUCGCGGCAUUCCUGGAUUCCUGGCGAUCCCUCCGCCAGGUCCUGGUUAAUAUGCCCUCCCGUCCGGCAGAUCAUUGCAAUUUAUAAUUAAGUGGAAAUAUGUUGUCUACGAUGGCAACAAGGAUCUCAGAUUGCUGGCGCAGAUAUGAAUGGCUCGCAAAGGAGGGACAGAGAGGGAGAGAGGGAAACGGAGCCCUCAAUUGGAAUAACAAAUGCAUUAGCAGGCCAAACAAGGACCUAAUAAUGUCCUCGCCGGGGGAAUGUGAAUGGAAAUCCAUUGUGCAAAGAAUGGCCCGGGUCUCAUCCGCAAUUACCGUUAGGCACACACACACACACAGGGGCAAAUGAGGACACGUCGGCCUGGCUAAUUCAUGACUUUAAGGACACUUUGGCAAACAAUCGAACGGCCAAGGCGAAGGAAUAUUCACAGUGCAAUUGAUUAUGCAUGAGUGUUUUGUCGUGUGCGGUUUGUGUGCGUGCCAAUCAACUGGGUAGAAUCAAUCAAAAUGCAAUAGGAUUGCCCUGCCAAUCAAAGGCAAAGCCGAGAAAAGCGCUUCCAUCGCUCGCAGAAGUCACCUCUGCGGCCCACUCCCCCCCAGUUGCACAGCUCAAGUCCAAGGCAGCCAGAUCCUGGCCAGUAUUUUCGGACCACAUCAGGACAAAUAGCCAGUGCCCAGGUAACCAGGACAAACACUCAAAUGCCUGGCGAAGCGUGGCGAAGGAAGCAAACGAGACGUGGGCUUACAUACAGAAAAACUAUGGUCUAACUUUUUUCACAAUCGAUGUCCUUAGUAUCCUUUAAAUAACUUAAUCCGCAGUGUAUUUCAUUCGGAACAAGUGUAAGCGUAAGCGGCGCAUUUAUUUGCCAAGCGCACUUUUUGCAUUUGCCAAACAAGAGUGCGGCUCCUGCCAGGACGAGGCCUUGUCCUCCGUCUGUUUGAACACGAGCCUACACUUCGGACCUCGUCCUGGGUGAGUACUUUGCACCUGUGUUUGCACUUAAAUCGAGUUUGCCGUUGAUGAGCAGCCCGGGACAAAUAGACGCACGGCAUGGGUGCUUUGGGUACUUUGGUUACUUGGCCAGUGACCACCGGCGAUUGUAAUUGCGGCACUCGGCACACUCACCACAUUCACAAAGUCCUGGAACGUCACGUAGCCGGGUCCUGUGGGCAGCUUCGCCUUCUUGGCCCGCUCCAGCAGCAGCUCCCGCUUGUUCAUAGGCACUUGGGACAGGAACUCCGGCGACUUGAGGGCCACGAGGAAUUCCUCGACGGAUAUUUCGCCAAAACCCUCGGGAUCGAACUGCAAAGCGGGGAAAGUAAUUACAAAUAAGUAUAAUUAUAAGUAUUCCUUCGGGGUCGGCUUACUCACCAUGUCAAAGAGCAGUUUCCAUUUCUGUAAGUAAAGUGAAGAAAGAAGGAAUUAUAAUAAGUAGCUCGAACAACUGGAUAUGCAGAGGUGGUCAGGAUUUUCGUAUUGGAACUCACAUCUCUUAGUAGCUCCCGUCGCAGCUCGGCCUCAUCGAAGUCCGAGUUCAGGGACGUGUGUUCCGUAUCAUAGCCGGCAUCAUUGGUGCAUUGCUGGGGAAUAUCAGAGUUAGGGACAUGAUCUUACAAGCACCUCCAGCUCCUUACGUAGCGCAUUUGGGUGUGCGAGAGGGAUCCAAUGGAGGCCAGGGAGCCGGCGAUGGUGGAUAUGUGCUCGAUGUCGGCCAGAGUCUCCUGCUGACUACUACCGCCGGCAUUUUGCUGGCUGGUUGGGAUUUCCAGGGCCCGCGAGCUUCCUCGCUCGGAGCCGGGCCACAUCCUGCAGUUCCUGGCUAUCCAGAUUUGGUUUUGGGAUCAGGGUGGAUCGUUGUGUCGUGGUUUGGCAGUGUUUGUAGCGAUUACAGUUUAGCUGCGGAAAAGAAAUUAUUAAGUGCUAUACUCCGACCUUGACUUCCUUGCUCUCUAGUUGAAAUCCAGUAUUGUAGAAAUUUAAAUAAUAAUUUGUUGCAAAAAUAGUUAAUAAAUAGCUGUUAUAUAUUUUUAAAAUGUUUGUUUUCGAAAUUCCCCGACUGGAGCCACUGUGCAGAGCUUUUCCAUCUCUUUACCCCAAAAGCUCUUUUGGACGCAGUUCAGUUUGGACGACAUAAAUUCCACCACCGAUUUGGUCGAGUGCGCUGAGAUGUCGAUUCUCACGCGCUCAUGAUUUUCGAGUGGCGGUUCGAGUGCCGCUGAGGUCGGGAUGAUAUGAAAUGUUCAUUCAUUUCGUUUUCUUAAUAAAUAUAUAUGUAGAUAUUUUCCGUUUGUUGGGGGGCCUGUGAAAUCAGUUUGUUGCAAUUUGACAUGACUGGAAUUGCUGCACUUUUCGCGGGCCCAGAGAGAUACUUCCGGAUAAUCAUAGGCUGCUGGUUUUCAAUACCAUAGCCUAUUUCAUGGCCGGCAAACAAA
Molecule: long non-coding RNA, 8049 nt
Organism: Drosophila simulans
Lineage: Eukaryota; Metazoa; Arthropoda; Insecta; Diptera; Drosophilidae
Exons: 5
Source: RefSeq, a predicted model, not a curated record